CCCUUAGAUGUUCUGGGCUGCACGCGCGCUACACUGACGCACGCAACAGGUGCCUGCUCCGAGAGGACUGGGUAAUCAUUUGAGUGUGCGUCGUGAUGGGGAUAGAAUAUUGUAAUUAUUACUCUUCAACGAGGAAUUCCUAGUAAGCGCCAGUCAGCAGCUUGCGCUGAUUACGUCCCUGCCCUUUGCACACACCGCCCGUCGCACCUACCGAUGGGUGAUCCGGUGAAUGAUUCGGACUUCAGCGGCUCCCCUGGGGUGCGCCGGAGAAAGUUUUGUGAACCUUAUCACUUGGAGGAAGGAGAAGUCGUAACA
Molecule: ribosomal RNA, 315 nt
Filed under: uncultured eukaryote
Lineage: Eukaryota
Description: partial 18S ribosomal RNA
Rfam family: Eukaryotic small subunit ribosomal RNA
Source: RNAcentral